GACGAACGCGGCGGCGUGCUUAACACAUGCAAGUCGAACGAAGAGCGAUGGAAGCUUGCUUCUAUCAAUCUUAGUGGCGAACGGGUGAGUAACGCGUAAUCAACCUGCCCUUCAGAGGGGGACAACAGUUGGAAACGACUGCUAAUACCGCAUACGAUCUAAUCUCGGCAUCGAGGAUAGAUGAAAGGUGGCCUCUACAUGUAAGCUAUCACUGAAGGAGGGGAUUGCGUCUGAUUAGCUAGUUGGAGGGGUAACGGCCCACCAAGGCGAUGAUCAGUAGCCGGUCUGAGAGGAUGAACGGCCACAUUGGGACUGAGACACGGCCCAGACUCCUACGGGAGGCAGCAGUGGGGAAUCUUCCGCAAUGGACGAAAGUCUGACGGAGCAACGCCGCGUGAGUGAUGACGGCCUUCGGGUUGUAAAGCUCUGUUAAUCGGGACGAAAGGCCUUCUUGCGAAUAGUGAGAAGGAUUGACG
RNAcentral lists this ribosomal RNA (476 nucleotides) under Veillonella parvula. RNAcentral describes it as "bacterial SSU rRNA". It matches the Rfam family "Bacterial small subunit ribosomal RNA", at positions 28 to 474 of the family's 1533-position model. Lineage: Bacteria; Bacillati; Bacillota; Negativicutes; Veillonellales; Veillonellaceae. The record is from RNAcentral.